CAUGAUGAACGCUAGCGACAGGCUUAACACAUGCAAGUCGAGGGGCAGCACAGGUAGCAAUACCGGGUGGCGACCGGCGCACGGGUGAGUAACGCGUAUGCAACUUACCUAUCAGAGGGGGAUAACCCGGCGAAAGUCGGACUAAUACCGCAUGAAGCAGGGGUCCCGCAUGGGGAUAUUUGCUAAAGAUUCAUCGCUGAUAGAUAGGCAUGCGUUCCAUUAAGCAGUUGGCGGGGUAACGGCCCACCAAACCGACGAUGGAUAGGGGUUCUGAGAGGAAGGUCCCCCACAUUGGUACUGAGACACGGACCAAACUCCUACGGGAGGCAGCAGUGAGGAAUAUUGGUCAAUGGCCGAGAGGCUGAACCAGCCAAGUCGCGUGAGGGAUGAAGGUUCUAUGGAUCGUAAACCUCUUUUAUAAGGGAAUAAAGUGCGGGACGUGUCCCGUUUUGUAUGUACCUUAUGAAUAAGGAUCGGCUAACUCCGUGCCAGCAGCCGCGGUAAUACGGAGGAUCCGAGCGUUAUCCGGAUUUAUUGGGUUUAAAGGGUGCGUAGGCGGCCUUUUAAGUCAGCGGUGAAAGUCUGUGGCUCAACCAUAGAAUUGCCGUUGAAACUGGGGGGCUUGAGUAUGUUUGAGGCAGGCGGAAUGCGUGGUGUAGCGGUGAAAUGCAUAGAUAUCACGCACAACCCCGAUUGCGAAGGCAGCCUGCCUAGCCAUUACUGACGCUGAUGCACGAAAGCGUGGGGAUCAAACAGGAUUAGAUACCCUGGUAGUCCACGCAGUAAACGAUGAUCACUAGCUGUUUGCGAUACACUGUAAGCGGCACAGCGAAAGCGUUAAGUGAUCCACCUGGGGAGUACGCCGGCAACGGUGAAACUCAAAGGAAUUGACGGGGGCCCGCACAAGCGGAGGAACAUGUGGUUUAAUUCGAUGAUACGCGAGGAACCUUACCCGGGUUUGAACGCAUUCGGACCGAGGUGGAAACACCUUUUCUAGCAAUAGCCGUUUGCGAGGUGCUGCAUGGUUGUCGUCAGCUCGUGCCGUGAGGUGUCGGCUUAAGUGCCAUAACGAGCGCAACCCUUGCCACUAGUUACUAACAGGUAAAGCUGAGGACUCUGGUGGGACUGCCAGCGUAAGCUGCGAGGAAGGCGGGGAUGACGUCAAAUCAGCACGGCCCUUACAUCCGGGGCGACACACGUGUUACAAUGGCGUGGACAAAGGGAAGCCACCUGGCGACAGGGAGCGAAUCCCCAAACCACGUCUCAGUUCGGAUCGGAGUCUGCAACCCGACUCCGUGAAGCUGGAUUCGCUAGUAAUCGCGCAUCAGCCAUGGCGCGGUGAAUACGUUCCCGGGCCUUGUACACACCGCCCGUCAAGCCAUGGGAGCCGGGGGUACCUGAAGUCCGUAACCGCGAGGAUCGGCCUAGGGUAAAACU
RNAcentral lists this ribosomal RNA (1437 nucleotides) under uncultured organism. Its description in RNAcentral is "SSU rRNA". It matches the Rfam family "Bacterial small subunit ribosomal RNA". The record is from RNAcentral.